This is an RNA transcript of Cololabis saira (Pacific saury), 1895 nucleotides long. It is a transcript of the gene named proliferation associated nuclear element, with no coding region annotated. The record is from RefSeq and is a predicted model, not a curated record. Lineage: Eukaryota; Metazoa; Chordata; Actinopteri; Beloniformes; Belonidae. The transcript is spliced from 8 exons.
UCAAAGGAAGAAGCGCGGGAUGGAGACGUGAGACUCCCAACAAAGUUAGUUUUUCUUCCUUAAAUUCGCAGAUCUGACGCCGCCCAAGAGGCUGUUUUGCCCGAGAUAAUGUCGCUGAUGAAGCCGUUUAGUAAACUCCCUGGACUGAAUACGGCCAACAUUUUGUUGGUGGAGAGCGAGGAAAACUUCCAGCAGCGUUUAGCUGAGGCUCUGGUGAAGAAGACCAGCAUCACGGUGAAUGUGAGGCUGGCGAAGAGCUUCCCUCUGCCGAUGGAGAACAAUGAGACUCGUCCAAGGAUCGACCUGGUCGCCUUCAUCAUCAAUCUGACCUCCGAGCUCAGUCUCCAUUCGGCAGAAGAGGCCCGGAAAUAUUUGGACCCAGGAUAUUUCCUUGGAAAAGUCUGCUUCAUGGUCACUAAUGCUCGUAAUUCCUUGGUCCCCACUGAGCGCCUGGAUGCGGUCCGGAAGCUGGCGGCGUCGCUCCACUGCCCCCUGCUGUUCGCGGAGGAUCAGACACCGGAAGGCGUAAACAGCGCUGCCGGGAGGCUGCUGACCAUCCUGAAGGCGGCGUCCGGCCUCGUCCCCGUCACCACCGCCCUGUACCUGUCAAACCUGACCCGAUGCACUCUGCCGCCAGACUUCGAGCAGCCGAGCUUCGAUUAGCUCCGGCCAGGUAUGACGUCCCCUAGAAUACGUCUCUGCCAUCGAUGCCAUUAUUAAAGCAACCGCUGCACUCUGACAUCUACUUGAACAUUUAUCUGAGACAAAUGGCAGCAUUCACUCUCAACCCGACCGCUUUAUUACAGACAGCUUCGCAAGACAGGAGGUGAAGGAUGGUCGGGCCCGGGAGACGAGAGGAGGCGGGGGAGUUUUCUCUGGACUUCAUGUGGGGUCGAUGUUUGCAGAGGAGUUUAACGAUUCCUGUAAUUCCUGCUUUGAUGUCAUCCACCUUCAGCAGCCUUCUGCAUCCCUGCUAACGUUACGUCUGGAUGUCGAUAUUAAUAAUUGCACUGUUUUAGCUUUGUAAUAAUUUAUACGUGCAUAUAACGUUUUUUUGUGGUUUGUAGAUACUUUAGGGUAUAUUUUGUCUCAAUCUAAUAGAAUAAAUGACCAUUGGUCAAUAAAAUCAUCUAUGAAAUGUAUCUUAGUUAUACUGAAACCUUAAAAUGAAACGGUAUAUUUUGUGUUAAGUCAAUAUUUCCAUAUUUUUGCGUAAAUGUAGAUCGGAGGGAUCAAUCGUGUCGCCUGACAGAGCAGGACACCGGAGCCCCCGUUGCUGUGCCCAUUAAUGGGUCACAAGCUUGUGCUCUCAUAGUGUUGGUACCGUGCCCGGAUAAACCAGAGGGUUGUGUCAGGAAGGGCGUCCAACAUUUAAAGAAAUAUAUAUUAAUUUGGAAAAGUGAUGAUUCAAAGAUGUGUUUUUAUUCAGUUAAUUGUGUUAAAUUGAACUUUUUGUUUCUUUUGUUUGACUUUUUAUUUAUUUAUUUCUACACAUGUUUAUGAACUGAACUAUAUGUGUUUGACAUACAGAAGAAUAGAAAUGCUGUUUCUCUCUCACCUGGUCUUCAAUGCCAUUCAUUUAGAAAAAAAAAAAAAGAAUUAACCACAAAAAUUAAAAAGUAUACCGGUAAGCAAAUAGAAACUCGAGGAAAAAUAACUCAAAAACUUUUUUUUUUAAUUAUGUCUGUUGUGAUAGAAGUCUACAAACUGCAAUGGCAAAAUGACGUAAAAUAAAUUGUAAUUGCACCUUUUUUUUUAUAUGUAUGUAUUUUUUUUUUCACACUUUGGGAUAGUAUGUCAAAAUGCAAGCUAAAACUGUAUUUUUGAAUAUUUUUUGUAUUUUCUUCUGUGAUGUAUUCGGGGAAAGGGAACGGAAAUAAAAUUGGAUAAUUGAA